Long non-coding RNA from Oryzias melastigma (Indian medaka), 371 nucleotides. RefSeq lists it as uncharacterized. The record is from RefSeq and is a predicted model, not a curated record. The transcript is spliced from 3 exons. NCBI's taxonomy places the organism in Eukaryota, Metazoa, Chordata, Actinopteri, Beloniformes, Adrianichthyidae.
AACAGAGACUCCAAUGACAUUUACCUCUACAAAGUGGUGAAGGUGAUCAAGGUUCAAGGACAGGUGGUGGAGGGUUACAAGUACAUUAUAACUGUACGAAUUGCAAGAACCCUGUGCAGGAAGGACAGUGUGAUUGGAUUGUGCUCCAUCACAAAUCACCCUAACGUCAAGAUUUUCCUUUGCAAAUUCGUCGUGUGGAGCCGUCCAUGGCUCAAUGAUUGGCAGGUGCUAGAAGCAAAGUGCCAUUAGAAGACCAAAAUGGAGAUCCUGAUGUAUUCAAAAUUGCCUUUAGAAAUGAAAAUAGAAAUAUUUUUUUUCUAAAAGUCCAAAACUACAACGGCAUUCAAUCAAUAAAACAUUUUAUUCAAGAA